This 451-nucleotide ribosomal RNA is filed under the name Streptococcus sp. oral taxon C65. RNAcentral's name for it is "bacterial SSU rRNA". It matches the Rfam family "Bacterial small subunit ribosomal RNA", at positions 28 to 463 of the family's 1533-position model. The record is from RNAcentral. Lineage: Bacteria; Bacillati; Bacillota; Bacilli; Lactobacillales; Streptococcaceae.
GACGAACGCUGGCGGCGUGCCUAAUACAUGCAAGUAGAACGCUGAGGAGAGGAGCUUGCUCUUCUUGAAUGAGUUGCGAACGGGUGAGUAACGCGUAGGUAACCUGCCUUGUAGCGGGGGAUAACUAUUGGAAACGAUAGCUAAUACCGCAUAACAAUGGGUGACACAUGUCAUUUAUUUGAAAGGGGCAAUUGCUCCACUACAAGAUGGACCUGCGUUGUAUUAGCUAGUAGGUGAGGUAACGGCUCACCUAGGCGACGAUACAUAGCCGACCUGAGAGGGUGAUCGGCCACACUGGGACUGAGACACGGCCCAGACUCCUACGGGAGGCAGCAGUAGGGAAUCUUCGGCAAUGGGGGCAACCCUGACCGAGCAACGCCGCGUGAGUGAAGAAGGUUUUCGGAUCGUAAAGCUCUGUUGUAAGUCAAGAAUGAGUGUGAGAGUGGAAAGU